This 253-nucleotide ribosomal RNA is filed under the name uncultured bacterium. Its description in RNAcentral is "partial 16S ribosomal RNA". It matches the Rfam family "Bacterial small subunit ribosomal RNA", at positions 524 to 776 of the family's 1533-position model. The record is from RNAcentral.
GACGAGGGGUCCAAGCGUUGUUCGGAAUCAUUGGGCGUAAAGCGGGUGUAGGUGGCUCUCUAAGUCAGAAGUGAAAGCCCCAGGCUUAACCUGGGAAGUGCUUUUGAUACUGGAGAGCUUGAAUGUGGGAGAGGGUAGUGGAAUUCCAGGUGUAGUGGUGAAAUACGUAGAUAUCUGGAGGAACACCGGUGGCGAAGGCGGCUACCUGGCCCAACAUUGACACUGAGACCCGAAAGCGUGGGGAUCAAACAGG